UACGUAGGUGGCAAGCGUUGUCCGGAUUUACUGGGCGUAAAGAGCGCGCAGGCGGUCGUUCAAGUCGAGUGUGAAAGCCCCCGGCUCAACUGGGGAGGGUCACUCGAUACUGAUCGACUCGAAGGCAGAAGAGGGAAGCGGAAUUCCCGGUGUAGUGGUGAAAUGCGUAGAUAUCGCGUGGAACGCCAAAGGUGAAGACAGGUGACUGGGGGUGUGCCGACGCUGAGACGCGAAAGCCAGGGGAGCAAACGGG
Molecule: ribosomal RNA, 253 nt
Filed under: uncultured bacterium
Lineage: Bacteria
Description: partial 16S ribosomal RNA
Rfam family: Bacterial small subunit ribosomal RNA
Source: RNAcentral